GGUAUCGGCAUUUCCAGUGGAGGAAGAUCAAGCUCAUUGUCAAGACAACAAGAAAAAACCACCUCAAUUGCAUCCAUUGCCACCUCCUCCGCUACCUGAAACGAACAAUGUCAACAAUUUCGAUAUGAUGCCGGCUUUCCCUAUGAUCACCAAUCCUGUUGUAUUGCGUGUCCCAAUUGAGAGUCCAAUGGAAAACUUUUCAAUGGGACAGGGCAAUCCGGCCACUAACCCCUCAGCAAAUCUCAUCCGACCAAUUCCUGUCCUAACCCCUCAUGCUUCUGAAAUAUCUGAUUUUAACUUAAAUUUGAAGUCAACCGUGGACCUGCCGCCGUUGUCACUCAAGCUGUCUUCACUCUCUGAUCAGAGGGAAUCAUCACCAAGGCCUUCAGCAUUUCAGGUGAUGCCGAGCUCCAACAAUGGAGAUAGCAUCAUCAGUGUUGCUUAAGCAUAAUAACGUUGCAAAUGUGGAGGCGGGUGCAUUGGUUAGAUGGUGUGAAUUAGAGAAGA
Molecule: unclassified non-coding RNA, 507 nt
Filed under: Hevea brasiliensis (rubber tree)
Lineage: Eukaryota; Viridiplantae; Streptophyta; Magnoliopsida; Malpighiales; Euphorbiaceae
Source: RNAcentral